RNA transcript from Rosa rugosa (rugosa rose), 810 nucleotides. RefSeq lists it as uncharacterized. Lineage: Eukaryota; Viridiplantae; Streptophyta; Magnoliopsida; Rosales; Rosaceae. The transcript is spliced from 3 exons. The record is from RefSeq and is a predicted model, not a curated record.
UCAGAAAUCCCAGAGCUUCGAUUAGAAAUCCAAAAGGUAGAAGACGAAGCUCAAACUUCACCUGGCGUCACGGCCCAAACCCAAUCGGUCACCUACAUGCCCAGACCCAACGACGGAGCUUCGAGUGCCCAAAACAUAAACCCCGGCGACGGAAUUGGACCGCUCGUAAUGAACGCCGUCGAGCAGGUGAUCGAGGUGAUACACGCGCCGGUCUAUUUUGAGAAGUACCUUGAUUCCUCUGCAAGGUAAUUGUUAAGCUUAAGUAUGCAGAUCUUGUUUCCAUACUUCCAACCAAUGUCAGUGUAGUAGUAUGGCCCAUUCAAAUCUGGAGAUUCAAUGUAAAUAUAUCAACCUUGAAUACACUGGAAGGUCCAACUUGUCUACUCUAUGCAGAGGAUGCCUUACGAACUAUGAGCUUACCUGAAGCAUAUACAGAGAUUGUCUUGAAUUUGCCAUAUAAGCUCUUCGGAAAAUGCACAAAGAGUCCGCUUAAUAUCACACUUGUGAACGCAGCUGAAGGAAAAUUCUACAAAAUGUUAACGUAUGACAUGCAUACAAUUGCCUUAAAAGUGGUAAUUUGAGUCCUCAAAAUAGUAAUAUUAGUCCUCAAAGUGGUAACAUGAGUCCUUAAAGUGGUAAAUUUUCUUAGUUACCACAUGAGUCCUCAAAAUAGUAAUAUUAGUCCUCAAAGUGGUAACAUGAGUCCUUAAAGUGGUAAAUUUUCUUAGUUUACCAUAUGAGUCCUCAAAAUAGUAAUAUUAGUCCUCAAAGUGGUAACAUGAGUCCUUAAAGUGGUAAAAAUAGUUGAUG